AAAAAGGCAAACCUUAGGUUUGCGUGUCCAACUUUAACUGUCCGUCUUAUAUGAAAAUUUUUUAUAAUUCGUAUUUUUAUUAUUGUUAGAUGAUAAAGCAUGAUUAAUACUUUGUGCGUGACUUGUCUUUUUAAUUUUUUUCAUAAUUUUUUCAAAUAAGACGAACGGUCAAACAUUGGGCACGGAAACCAGGGUUUGUCUUUUU
Molecule: non-coding RNA, 205 nt
Organism: Oryza glaberrima (African rice)
Lineage: Eukaryota; Viridiplantae; Streptophyta; Magnoliopsida; Poales; Poaceae
Source: Rfam